Molecule: microRNA precursor, 191 nt
Filed under: Oryza brachyantha (malo sina)
Lineage: Eukaryota; Viridiplantae; Streptophyta; Magnoliopsida; Poales; Poaceae
Description: MIR812 microRNA precursor family
Rfam family: MIR812 microRNA precursor family
Source: Rfam by way of RNAcentral
AAUAAGAUCAUUUUUUAGUUUUUAGAUAUAAUGCUUUGACUCUUCGUCUUAUUUGAAUUUUUUUUGCAUUAAUAUGUUUAUUGUUACUAGAUGAUAAAACAUGAAUAGUAUUUUAUACAUGACUAAGUUUCUUAAUUUUUUAUGUAAAUUUUUCAAAUAAGACGAAUAGUUAAGCUUUGGACAAAGAAAUC